Molecule: ribosomal RNA, 301 nt
Filed under: uncultured bacterium
Lineage: Bacteria
Description: partial 16S ribosomal RNA
Rfam family: Bacterial small subunit ribosomal RNA
Source: RNAcentral
CAGCAGCCACGGGAAUACGUAGGUGGCAAGCGUUGUCCGGAAUUAUUGGGCGUAAAGGGCGCGUAGGCGGACAUUUAAGUCAGAGGUGAAAGCCCAGGGCUCAACCUUGGAACUGCCUUUGAUACUGGAUGUCUUGAGUUCGAGAGAGGUAAGUGGAACUGCGAGUGUAGAGGUGAAAUUCGUAGAUAUUCGCAAGAACACCAGUGGCGAAGGCGGCUUACUGGCUCGAUACUGACGCUGAGGCGCGAAAGCGUGGGGAGCAAACAGGAUUAGAUACCCCAGUAGUCCCUGUCUCUUAUAC